GCACAAGCGGUGGAGCAUGUGGUUCAAUUCGACGCAACGCGAAGAACCUUACCUGGGCUCGAAGCGCAGUGGAAUCCGGUGGAAACAUCGGCGCCCGCAAGGGCCGCUGCGGAGGUGCUGCAUGGCUGUCGUCAGCUCGUGUCGUGAGAUGUUGGGUUAAGUCCCGCAACGAGCGCAACCCUUAUCUCUAGUUGCCAUCGGGUCAAGCCGGGCACUCUAGCGAAACCGCGCAGGAUAACUGCGAGGAAGGUGGGGAUGACGUCAAGUCCUCAUGGCCUUUAUGUCCAGGGCUACACACGUGCUACAAUGGUCGGUACAAACCGUCGCAAACCCGUGAGGGGGAGCUAAUCGGAAAAAGCUGGCCUCAGUUCGGAUUGGAGUCUGCAAUUCGACUCCAUGAAGCUGGAAUCGCUAGUAAUCGCAGAUCAGAACGCUGCGGUGAAUACGUUCCCGGGC
RNAcentral lists this ribosomal RNA (456 nucleotides) under uncultured bacterium. Its description in RNAcentral is "bacterial SSU rRNA". It matches the Rfam family "Bacterial small subunit ribosomal RNA", at positions 923 to 1379 of the family's 1533-position model. The record is from RNAcentral.